RNAcentral lists this ribosomal RNA (378 nucleotides) under Sclerophrys togoensis (Togo toad). RNAcentral describes it as "partial 12S ribosomal RNA". It matches the Rfam family "Bacterial small subunit ribosomal RNA", at positions 794 to 1384 of the family's 1533-position model. The record is from RNAcentral. Lineage: Eukaryota; Metazoa; Chordata; Amphibia; Anura; Bufonidae.
GCCCAGCCGUAAACUUUUUCUUACAUCCUAUCGCCAGGGAACUACGAGCAAAGCUUAAAACCCAAAGGACUUGACGGUACCCUAUAUCCCCCUAGAGGAGCCUGUUCUAUAACCGAUGAUCCACGUUUAACCUUACCAUUUUUUGCCAAUUCAGCCUGUAUACCUCCGUCGCCAGCUUACCACGUGAGCGCCAAUUAGUAGGCAUAAUGUCAACUUCAACAAUACGUCAGGUCAAGGUGCAGCAGACAAAAUGGGUGAGAUGGGCUACACUUUCUACCAUAGAAGAAACGAAAAACUACCUAUGAAAAACAGUUAGAAGGCGGAUUUAGCAGUAAAAUGAAGUUAGCAUAUUCAUUUUAACCCGGCACUAGGGUGUGU